Molecule: non-coding RNA, 3302 nt
Organism: Megalopta genalis
Lineage: Eukaryota; Metazoa; Arthropoda; Insecta; Hymenoptera; Halictidae
Source: RefSeq, a predicted model, not a curated record
UAACGGAGCGGUGUUCGUCGAUUUAUGUAAAUACAUUACAGAUCGUCGCAUCGUUCACAUUUCACCGCAUUUAAUACCGUGCGCGGUACGUGGUCGUUAAAAAAUUUAGUGCGUGCGUUUGCUCUCUCUCGCACUGUAAUCCAAUACGGUGCAGCACUGUUGAAUGUUUGCUGUUAUCGACUACAAACGAAACUAUGUGAUAGAAAUUCUAUGCCCAUUAAAUUGUCUGUUGUCGGAGCAUGUUUACGCGAUUUGUUUUGUACGCGUAAUUGAAUUGUUUUACAAAAUUUGUAAAGUCACCACCGUUCGAACGAUGGUGCAACAAGGUUAUUUGCACAGAGUGCAGCAAAUCGUGCGUGCGCCACCUGAAGUUGUCGGCGUGCUUUGCGCAAUGUCCAGCAAUGUCCAAGUGAAAAUUUUCGAUACGUGAAUACAUAGUGCUUCGAAGAAGUUGACCGAUCGAAACUUCCAAACGCAUUAUGAAUCGAUCACUUAAAAAAGUAUGUACAUGUAAUUACCUUUAACCGUCUGUGCUCGUCCCUGGUACGUUGAAACACAAGGCCUUCGUCAUAAAUUACAUCGAUUUCGCCGGCUGGUUAUUUCGCACUUCUACUUCAUAUUCUCCAUAGUCUUCGAAACAUAUUAUAAUUUCGAAUCCGUAUUGGUAACCGUAAGCUAAUAUUUCACGAUACACGCUACCAAUGCACUAUUUAUACGUAACAACUAUAUUUUAGAAGCUCGUUUCACGACUUAAUGUUGAGAUAACAAUACUCACAGGGAAAGAAAAGUUUCAAGCAUACCGCACAACACGAGAACUACGCGAAUCAAGCCACGUGAAUCUGAAUAGAUUACUCUUUGUAAACGCGAUUUAUCGAUUUUUCGAUAUAAUCUCGAAUUCCUCUACGAUCUUGAAUAGAUUUAUCGUAAAAUGCGCGAUCCUGCAGUUUUCAUUUCAGCAUUUAAAGGCGAGAGGAUUCGAAUGAGGAGGUAUUAAUUAAAACAUACGUACACGCGCGUGUAUUAUUCCAGCGUAAAUGGUACUUGCCGUUUUUAUCACAAAAUUCAUUGGAAAUUUCGGCAAGAAUCAUUAGAGCUCGAACUGGUAGAGUAUCAAUGUUCCAAGAUUUCGCCGAAGAUGACGCCACUCUAUCGUUCUACUAAAAAAUUACUCCGUCGGUCACAUUGUCCAACAGUUUGAGCAUGUCGCCGCUACGUUCAAUGGCUAUACCGACGUAGAUGAAAUUGACGCUAUUUUCAAAACGGUAAGAAUUAGCUGUUGCGUAGUUUGUAAAUUGUAUUCCACUAAUUAAUGCGAAUAAUUAAGAAACGGUAGCCGAAUCGUUAAAAUUGUAUUUGAUAAAUUAUUUAUUUCUAGUUCCUUAGUAUUUAUAACCUUCAUUUUCUAUUUGUUAAUACUCGUGCAUCAUCCGAUACUACUUUUCAUCGAAUGAUUUCUCAACUAGUCUAUUCUUUUGCUAGAAGGUCGCAUCCCAAUCGGCAAAGUCGUUUGGCGCUGCUGCAUGAUCCGGCGGGUAUCUGUCGAAGUUUCUAACAUCGAGAUGACCUUUUAUCUGUGAGCAAUUAAUAUUAUAAAUUUACAGGAAUCAACCGACAUAACCGAGAAAGGCGGGUUAACCGUUAUCGCGGGUAAGCUAUUUCGGUAUAAUUUCCGUCUUCGGGAACAAUUUUGUACGAUGCGUAUUACGCGAUCAGAAUAACGCGAUUAUUGUAAUACGCGUGUAGAAUCGAUCGAGGUAGAAUCGAGGUAGAAAUAUGAAACAGAGACGAGUGUAAGUCUCGAAUUGCUUGCUUACCGUUGGCACGAUAGGCGACGGUAUAUUACGUUGCUGGAAAUCUUGCCAUUUGAAAUUGUGGAACCAUCUGAAACAUUCUCGAGUUACCGAUAAAUAACUGAAAGCUUUUCGAACCCGUGCUUACCUCUGACCACGAAUAUCAUCGACGCCGUUUCGCAGACAUCCGAGUCGUUUGGUAGGAUCCUCUUGCAGAAGAGCCACGAUGAACGAUUUCGUCGCAGAUUUUAUAGCAGGCGGCAGAAGCGAUUCUUUGAAACCUAAAAGAAUAUUGUUGUACGUUUCCAAAUCGUUGAUGCUCUGGAACGGUGUCCGAUUUAGAAGCAACUCGUACGUGACGAUACCCAAUGCCCAGUAAUCGACGGCUCUUGAUUAAGAAAAUACCAAUUAAUGCUAACUAACUGUGAUUCCAUGGUUUCAGGUCACGAGUUUGGAAAGGCUUACCGGCUGUACGCUUUGCUAUGUAUAAUUUCCGGAGCCAAGUAUUCCGGCGUUCCUAUAAAGGUCCCCGUCUUGUAGCCGCCGAUAUAUUUGCUGGCUCCAAGAUCGCACUGCAAGAACCGCUUGAAAAUCAGCAAAACGCUGCCAACGAUCGGUAUCGGUAUCGGUAUCGGUAAAAAAGAAGAAAGGCUCACAAGCUUGGCGUAACCAUGACCGUCGAUCACGACGUUCUCCGGCUUCAAAUCCCUGUAAACGAUGCCCAACGAAUGAAGAUGGUUCAGACCUUCGACGACGCAUGCGACGACGAAUCUCGUUUUCUUAUUAUCGAAACGACCGUUUCUGUACAAGGCUGUCCUUAAAUCUCCACCGAGACACACCUCCAGUAAAAAGUACAGGUAUCUUUUAUCUUUGAAGGUCCUGUGCAAUCUGGAAGAAACGUUCGUCGAGAAAACCUAGCUCUGGAACGUAACGUAUUUUUACUCUUUCCCAAAUCUGUUCCUCACCGGCAAACGAAAGGCGAGUCGCUCAGCCUCAGGUUCAUCUUCUCGUUGUAGACCAUCUUCUGGAAGCCUUCCUUCGUGAUCGUGUGCUUCUUGAUCUUCUUGCGAGCGAAGCUGGUGUCGGGCAUCGAUUUCACGGUUACCAAUUCGACUCGGCUGCAUCCGCCAACCCCGAUGGUCGUGUGAAACAUCAGGUCCGACAAGGUCAAGCUCUUGAAACCGUCGCUCCAGUCGUCGGGUUCCGUGGACUUUUGGUGCCGCAGCCAGUUCUUGUUCUUGAUGGCGUUCAGACCGCCCAGCACUCCACUCCAGGGGACAUCGCGAUCACGUUCGCCUUUCUACAGGACUCUUCUUCGUAGAGAGCUUUCUCGCCGAAAUAGUCACCUUUGUUCAAGAUUGUCAUCUCCUUUUCUAUUCCUCCGGGACUAUUCAUCGUUACCUUAACGCUUCCAGCGUUCACGAUGUAGAACUUGGAGCCGUAGUCAUCUUGUCGUAUCACGUACACGUUCGCAGGAUAGAAUUCCUUGUAAUAAAGCGAAAGCAACGACGA